RNAcentral lists this unclassified non-coding RNA (354 nucleotides) under soil metagenome. Its description in RNAcentral is "partial contains small subunit ribosomal RNA, internal transcribed spacer 1, and 5.8S ribosomal RNA". The record is from RNAcentral.
UUUCCGUAGGUGAACCUGCGGAAGGAUCAUUAACACGUAUCCACGUAUCAACCACGUUGAACUGUACAUUGUGCUGUAUGCUGAGAACGAUAGGCUAGGUGGUAAGGAAUUAGCAAUAAUUCUCGUCUCCGUUCUACCGAUAGCUUUUUUGACAACCUCCGGGUUGUUUUUUUAGGGGUUAUCAGGCUGCAGUGCUUUGAUUGCCACAAUUGUUUUCUAACCACUAUGAAUUUGUGUUCUAAUAUCAAAAUCUUAACAGGCGUUUUUUGUUGCUGGCCCACAAGGCCGCCGAAUUGCCUUUUAAGUAUGUACGAAAAUCUUGAACAACUCUUAGCAACGGAUAUCUUGGUUUCC